RNAcentral lists this ribosomal RNA (778 nucleotides) under Russula sp. AC334. RNAcentral's name for it is "eukaryotic LSU rRNA". The stretch from base 234 to 387 matches the Rfam family "5.8S ribosomal RNA". The record is from RNAcentral. Lineage: Eukaryota; Fungi; Basidiomycota; Agaricomycetes; Russulales; Russulaceae.
UCAUUAUCAUACAAUAGAGGUGUCGGGGUUGUCGCUAACUUUUAAAAAGGGUUGUGCACACCUCGGUGCUCUCAUAUAAUCCAUCUCACCCCUUUUGUGCAUCUCCGCGUGGGGGCCCCUUUUUAGCUAGUUCUAAGGGGGGUAUUCACGUUUUUUUGUUUUGUUUUACACAGACACCCUUUUAAUGCAAUGUGCAGAAUGUCUUACUUUUUGCGAUCACACGCAAUCAAUACAACUUUCAACAACGGAUCUCUUGGCUCUCGCAUCGAUGAAGAACGCAGCGAAAUGCGAUACGUAAUGUGAAUUGCAGAAUUCAGUGAAUCAUCGAAUCUUUGAACGCACCUUGCGCCCUUUGGCAUUCCGAGGGGCACACCCGUUUGAGUGUCGUGACAUCCUCAAAACCUUCUUGGUUUCUUGACCGGGAAGGCUUUGGACUUUGGAGGCUUUUUGCUGGCUUUCCUUUGUUGGAGCCAGCUCCUCUGAAAUGAAUUAGUGGGGUCUGCUUUGCCGAUCCUUGACGUGAUAAGAUGUUUUCUACGUCUUGGGUUUCGCACUGUUUGCUCUGGAUCCUGCUUCUAACUGCCUCANAGAAGACAAUGGUCAAGUGAUUGCCACUUGACCCACAAACCUUGACCUCAAAUCGGGUGAGACUACCCGCUGAACUUAAGCAUAUCAAUAAGCGGAGGAAAAGAAACUAACAAGGAUUCCCCUAGUAACUGCGAGUGAAGCGGGAAAAGCUCAAAUUUAAAAUCUGGUGGUCUUUGGCCAUCCGAAUUGU